RNAcentral lists this transfer RNA (71 nucleotides) under Ictidomys tridecemlineatus (thirteen-lined ground squirrel). RNAcentral describes it as "Spermophilus tridecemlineatus (thirteen-lined ground squirrel) tRNA". It matches the Rfam family "tRNA". From Rfam's summary of the family: Transfer RNA (tRNA) molecules are approximately 80 nucleotides in length. The record is from Rfam by way of RNAcentral. Lineage: Eukaryota; Metazoa; Chordata; Mammalia; Rodentia; Sciuridae.
GGGGUUGUGGCUCAGUGGUAGAGUGCUUGCCUAGCAUGUGUGAGACACUGAGUCCAAUUCUCAGCACUCCG